This 261-nucleotide ribosomal RNA is filed under the name uncultured bacterium. Its description in RNAcentral is "partial 16S ribosomal RNA". The record is from RNAcentral.
CUGCUGCCUCCCGUAGGAGUCUGGUCCGUGUCUCAGUACCAGUGUGGGGGACCUUCCUCUCAGAACCCCUAUCCAUCGAUGCCUUGGUGGGCCGUUACCCCGCCAACAAGCUAAUGGAACGCAUCCCCAUCGAUGACCGAAAUUCUUUAAUAGUUCUACCAUGCGGAAGAACUAUGCCAUCGGGUAUUAAUCUUUCUUUCGAAAGGCUAUCCCCGAGUCAUCGGCAGGUUGGAUACGUGUUACUCACCCGUGCGCCGGUCG